Molecule: transfer RNA, 82 nt
Filed under: Schistosoma mansoni
Lineage: Eukaryota; Metazoa; Platyhelminthes; Trematoda; Strigeidida; Schistosomatidae
Rfam family: tRNA
About the family: Transfer RNA (tRNA) molecules are approximately 80 nucleotides in length. Their secondary structure includes four short double-helical elements and three loops (D, anti-codon, and T loops).
Source: RNAcentral
GUCAGGAUGGCCGAACGUUCCAAGGCGCUGCGUUCAGGUCGCAGUCCACCCUGUGGGUAUGGGUUCGGAUCUCACUCCUGAC